This 253-nucleotide ribosomal RNA is filed under the name uncultured bacterium. RNAcentral describes it as "partial 16S ribosomal RNA". It matches the Rfam family "Bacterial small subunit ribosomal RNA", at positions 524 to 776 of the family's 1533-position model. The record is from RNAcentral.
UACGUAGGGGGCAAGCGUUGUCCGGAUUUAUUGGGCGUAAAGAGCGUGUAGGCGGCCAUUCAGGUCAGCUGUGAAAACUCGAGGCUCAACCUCGAGACGUCGGUUGAAACCGUUUGGCUAGAGUCCGGAAGAGGAGAGUGGAAUUCCCGGUGUAGCGGUGAAAUGCGCAGAUAUCGGGAGGAACACCUGUGGUGUAGACAGCUUACUGGACCAUUUCUGACGCUGAGACACGAAAGCGUGGGUAGCAAACAGG